UUCGAAAUACUUGAUUAUAUUUUAAUUUUUAAUUUAAGUUCAAAUUAAAAUUUAAAAUUAUAUAUUUAAUUUUUAAAUUUUAACUCAUAUUUUAAUUAAAAAAGUUGAAAAAAUAAAUUUAAUCCGAAUAAAUAUCCAUUCCGUCCGAAUUUAACUUCCAUACGAUUUUAUUUUUCUCUUUCUAUCAGCCCCUCCAUUAACUUCUCCAUUAAAAUAUAUAAAAAAAACUUCAGAUAUUCCCCUGUGGUUUGCUUAUUUUUCACCUUAAUACACUGUGAUUUUAACUUUAUUACUAGUUUAAUCAAAAAAUUAACAAAACA
This 320-nucleotide long non-coding RNA is filed under the name Ananas comosus (pineapple). Its description in RNAcentral is "long non-coding RNA (ACOM_LNC038948)". The record is from RNAcentral. Lineage: Eukaryota; Viridiplantae; Streptophyta; Magnoliopsida; Poales; Bromeliaceae.